This 690-nucleotide ribosomal RNA is filed under the name Pseudomonas sp. Its description in RNAcentral is "bacterial SSU rRNA". It matches the Rfam family "Bacterial small subunit ribosomal RNA", at positions 75 to 761 of the family's 1533-position model. Lineage: Bacteria; Pseudomonadati; Pseudomonadota; Gammaproteobacteria; Pseudomonadales; Pseudomonadaceae. The record is from RNAcentral.
GGAGCUUGCUCCAUGAUUCAGCGGCGGACGGGUGAGUAAUGCCUAGGAAUCUGCCUGGUAGUGGGGGACAACGUUUCGAAAGGAACGCUAAUACCGCAUACGUCCUACGGGAGAAAGUGGGGGAUCUUCGGACCUCACGCUAUCAGAUGAGCCUAGGUCGGAUUAGCUAGUUGGUGAGGUAAAGGCUCACCAAGGCGACGAUCCGUAACUGGUCUGAGAGGAUGAUCAGUCACACUGGAACUGAGACACGGUCCAGACUCCUACGGGAGGCAGCAGUGGGGAAUAUUGGACAAUGGGCGAAAGCCUGAUCCAGCCAUGCCGCGUGUGUGAAGAAGGUCUUCGGAUUGUAAAGCACUUUAAGUUGGGAGGAAGGGCAGUAAGUUAAUACCUUGCUGUUUUGACGUUACCGACAGAAUAAGCACCGGCUAACUUCGUGCCAGCAGCCGCGGUAAUACGAAGGGUGCAAGCGUUAAUCGGAAUUACUGGGCGUAAAGCGCGCGUAGGUGGUUCGUUAAGUUGAAUGUGAAAGCCCCGGGCUCAACCUGGGAACUGCAUCCAAAACUGGCGAGCUAGAGUAUGGCAGAGGGUGGUGGAAUUUCCUGUGUAGCGGUGAAAUGCGUAGAUAUAGGAAGGAACACCAGUGGCGAAGGCGACCACCUGGGCUAAUACUGACACUGAGGUGCGAAAGCG